RNAcentral lists this ribosomal RNA (433 nucleotides) under uncultured bacterium. RNAcentral describes it as "partial 16S ribosomal RNA". It matches the Rfam family "Bacterial small subunit ribosomal RNA", at positions 29 to 507 of the family's 1533-position model. The record is from RNAcentral.
AACGAACGCUGGCGGCAUGCCUAACACAUGCAAGUCGAACGAGACCUUCGGGUCUAGUGGCGCACGGGUGCGUAACGCGUGGGAACCUGCCCUUAGGUUCGGAAUAACUCCCCGAAAGGGGUGCUAAUACCGGAUAAUGUCUUCGGCCCAAGGAUUUAUCGCCUUUGGAUGGGCCCGCGUUGGAUUAGCUAGUUGGUAGGGUAAAAGCCUACCAAGGCGACGAUCCAUAGCUGGUCUGAGAGGAUGAUCAGCCACACUGGGACUGAGACACGGCCCAGACUCCUACGGGAGGCAGCAGUGGGGAAUAUUGGACAAUGGGCGAAAGCCUGAUCCAGCAAUGCCGCGUGAGUGAUGAAGGCCGUAGGGUUGUAAAGCUCUUUUACCCGGGAUGAUAAUGACAGUACCGGGAGAAUAAGCUCCGGCUAACUCCGUG